Molecule: ribosomal RNA, 744 nt
Filed under: Salmonella enterica subsp. enterica serovar Typhimurium
Lineage: Bacteria; Pseudomonadati; Pseudomonadota; Gammaproteobacteria; Enterobacterales; Enterobacteriaceae
Description: partial 23S ribosomal RNA
Rfam family: Bacterial large subunit ribosomal RNA
Source: RNAcentral
AAGUAGUUUAAGUUGUGUGCAAGUGGUAGGAGAGCGUUCUAUUUGCGUCGAAGGUAUACCGGUAAGGAGUGCUGGAGCGAAUAGAAGUGAGCAUGCAGGCAUGAGUAGCGAUAAUUAAUGUGAGAAUCAUUAACGCCGUAAACCCAAGGUUUCCUACGCGAUGCUCGUCAUCGUAGGGUUAGUCGGGUCCUAAGUCGAGUCCGAAAGGGGUAGACGAUGGCAAAUUGGUUAAUAUUCCAAUACCAACAUUAGUGUGCGAUGGAAGGACGCUUAGGGCUAAGGGGGCUAGCGGAUGGAAGUGCUAGUCUAAGGUCGUAGGAGGUUAUACAGGCAAAUCCGUAUAACAAUACUCCGAGAACUGAAAGGCUUUUUGAAGUCUUCGGAUGGAUAGAAGAACCCCUGAUGCCGUCGAGCCAAGAAAAGUUUCUAAGUUUAGCUAAUGUUGCCCGUACCGUAAACCGACACAGGUGGGUGGGAUGAGUAUUCUAAGGCGCGUGGAAGAACUCUCUUUAAGGAACUCUGCAAAAUAGCACCGUAUCUUCGGUAUAAGGUGUGGUUAGCUUUGUAUUAGGAUUUACUCCGAAAGCAAGGAAACUUACAACAAAGAGUCCCUCCCGACUGUUUACCAAAAACACAGCACUCUGCUAACUCGUAAGAGGAUGUAUAGGGUGUGACGCCUGCCCGGUGCUCGAAGGUUAAUUGAUGGGGUUAGCAUUAGCGAAGCUCUUGAUCGAAGCCCGAGUA